RNAcentral lists this ribosomal RNA (137 nucleotides) under uncultured bacterium. RNAcentral describes it as "partial 16S ribosomal RNA". It matches the Rfam family "Bacterial small subunit ribosomal RNA", at positions 372 to 526 of the family's 1533-position model. The record is from RNAcentral.
UGGGCGCAAGCCUGAUCCAGCCAUGCCGCGUGGGUGAUGAAGGCCCUAGGGUUGUAAAGCCCUUUCGGCGGGGAAGAUAAUGACGGUACCCGCAGAAGAAGCCCCGGCUAACUUCGUGCCAGCAGCCGCGGUAAUAC